This is a non-coding RNA of Delphinapterus leucas (beluga whale), 231 nucleotides long. Lineage: Eukaryota; Metazoa; Chordata; Mammalia; Artiodactyla; Monodontidae. The record is from RefSeq and is a predicted model, not a curated record.
AUGAGCAAAGCUCACCCUCCCGAUUUGAAUAAAUUUAUGGACAAGAAGUUAUCAUUAAUAUUAAAUGGUGGCAGACAUGUCCAAGGAAUAUUGAGGGGAUUUGAUCCCUUUUUGAAUCUUGUGAUAGAUGAAUGUGUGGAGAUGGCAACUAGUGGGCAACAGAACAAUAUUGGAAUUGUGGUAAUACAAGGAAAUAGUAUCAUCAUGUUAGAAGCCUUGGAAGGAGUAUGA